CAAGCCGUGGCUGCGGCAGUCUCCUCUUUGCUUUCUUAUUUCUAUCUUUGCCAUCCUACAGUCUAUUCUCCACAUGGUGGUCAGAGGGAUCUUCUUAUUAGCCAGUGGCCCUUUGCUCUCGUGACUGCCCAUUUUGCUAAGAAAAAACCCCACAUCCUUAUUCUGGCCUCCUCCAUCUCGUUCCUGGAAACCUCUCUGAUCUUCUCACCUACAUCCUUCUCCUCACACACGCCCUCGGCCAGUGCGACCUGGCACCAAUCUCUCUCGCCUCACUUGCCUUUUCCUCUGCCCAGGCUGGGCCUACCUCCUUCCCUUCUUCAUUUGGAGUUCUGCUCAGAUGGUACCCAUCUUAGCUUCCUAGGGCUGCUGUAAAAAUCACCACAAUCUGGGUGGCUUCAAACAAUAGAAAUGUUUUCUCAGUGCAGGAGGCUAGAAUCAAAAUGUUGACAGGGUCAUGCUCCAUCUAAGUCUCUGCGGAAGAAUCCUUCCUUGCCUCUCCCAGCUUCUGGUGACCCCAGGCAUUCCUCAGCUUGUGGCAGCAUCUCUCCAGUCUCUGCCUCCAUCUUCACAUGGUCUUCUUCUCUCUGUGUUUGUGUUCUCUCCUCUUCUUAUGAGGACACCAGGCCUUGGAUUUAGGGCCCACACUGAAUCCAGUAUAAUCUCAUUUUGAGAUCUUCAACUAAUUACAUUCACAAUGACCCUCUUGACAAAUAAAUUCACAUCCCAAGGUUCUGUGUGGACAGGAAUUUGGGGGUGUCACUAUUCAACCCACUAUCCACCUUAUCAGAAAGGACUUCUUUGACAACCAAUCUGAAAUAGCUCCCCCACAUCCCAACUACUCAUCCCCCAACCCUGCUUUAUUUUUUUCAUAGCACGUAUCACCACUUACAGUCUAUAUAUUUAUUUGUUUACUGUCUGUCUCCCUCUACUUGAUUUUGAGCUUCUGGGACAAAGACUUUGAUCUGUCUUGAUUAUAGAUGUAUUCCCAGUGCCCAAACCAAGGGCCUCCCUAAAAUGGGUACGCAGCUAGUAUGUACUGAAUCAACGAAUUAGUCACAGACUUGGGGUUGCCCAGCACAGGCUCGGUCUCUCCUGGCCUCUGCAACUCCAGACCCAUCCAGCCAAUAGAGAUCCUCUCCUGCUCAGAAUCAGGGCUCACCUAGCCCAUUUUCUGGCGCACAUUUCUCUCACUAACCAUGCAGUCUCCCCAACGGAAAUGGAAACACCUGGAGCGACUGGGGGCUUAAGUGCCAUGAACAGCAGUCAGUGAGCAGGCUGAUGGAGGAGAUGAAAGUGCUUGCUUCUCUUAACUCCUCGUUCUCAGUGCAGACUGUGUCUUCUAUGCCUGUAUCCCCGCACCUAGCACAGUACCACCAUCAUGGCGGGCACACAAUGAAUGAAUGGAUGGAUGAGUGAAUGAAGGGAAUAGAGCCAAAUGGUCACCUCUGACAUUGACCUUCAUCUCUAAGGGGCUGGCCCCGUGGCCGAGUGGUUAAGUUCGCGCGCUCCGCUGCAGGCAGCCCAGUGUUUUGUUGGUUCGAAUCCUGGGCGCGGACAUGGCACUGCUCGUCAGACCACGCUGAGGCAGCGUCCCACGUGCCACAACUGGAAGAACCCACAACGAAGAAUAUACAACUAUGUACCGGGGGGCUUUGGGGAGAAAAAGGAAAUAAUAAAAUCUUUAAAAAUAAAAAAUUUACUUUUAAAUUU
Molecule: long non-coding RNA, 1710 nt
Organism: Equus caballus (horse)
Lineage: Eukaryota; Metazoa; Chordata; Mammalia; Perissodactyla; Equidae
Source: Ensembl